UUUCUCGGCCUCCUUCCCAAAUAAGGCUUUCAAUAACAAACUUUCAUCUGCGUUCCGUGCCCCUAUGCUUGAUGUUAGUGGGUGUGAGAGCCCGAAACUCGGGUAUCUUCAAAACCGGAUUUCAGCACCCCACGAUGCUAGCCAUACAACAUAAGCUUAAGAUAUGAAUGUAAUUACUACAUUAUUACAAUAUGUUACUUCUAAUCCCAAGUUCUAUUACCUUUACAUCUUCGUAUCAUAAUAUUAACGAAUAUUACUUCAUUCAAAUAUUUAUAUUUCAACUUGUAAUGCUAUACAUUUAAGCUAGUAAUAUAGACAAACAAUAAAUAACUCAUAAAGAGUUGGAAAAAAAAAAGAUGGACUGUGGAAGUUCAUUAUAAAAUGUAAAUAAGAGUAGUUUAAAAAUAACUGUUAUUUGUUAUUUAUUUAACUUGUAUUAUGUAUUAAUCAAGUUAUUUAAUUGUGUAUAGGAUGGCCGGAGUCCAAGAGGAAGUAAUGAAUGAUGAGGAGCAGAACGCUCCAUAGCCCAUAGCACCAGUUCAGGUGGUCAUAGAAUUAGACCCUGAUCUUGUUGAAGAAGAUUAGGAGGACCCUGAGGAGGAGGUCAAUGAAGUACAUAAUGCUAAACCUCAACAGCAGGAUAUGGAGGAAGCAAUGAUCCAACUAGGAGCGAUGAUCCAUUAUCUGAUGGAUCAGAAUACGGAUUUGUUGGCCAAACUGCAAGUUUCUGAGAACCGGACCCAAUAUUUGGAGGGUUAGAUUUAAGGAUUACAAGAGGAUCGCCACGAAAUGGGAAAUAUUAUGACAGCAUCGGAUGGAUACAUCCACCACUUGAAGGGUCGUUUAGGUGAUUGUAGAAGGCAGAGGGAAAUGAUGAAUUGUCUCUAUAUAUACCACCUAAAUGCAAAGGGUUCAGACUGUUGUCUAAAAUCAUCCUCAAGAAGUAGGUCACUCCUAGGUAUUCCAUCUCGCGUGCUAGAGUCAUAGCAAUUACUGAAGAGGAGCGGGUUCGUUCCACCACUGCAGUACGAGAUAGGGAUACCUGAGUAUUUGUUUGGUGAUCUAUGUGAGACAUAUGUGUACAUAAAAUGACGUAAAUAUUGUAAAUGUGCUAGUAUAUGUAGAAUAUAAAUGUACCCCACUUUUGAUAGUAUCAUGGGGAUAUCUUUUGGAAUCCUAACCUGAUAAUGGUUAAGGAUUGAAAUAUAUAAACCUUUUGAUAACAAGGUAGAGAUAAGAUGUAAAUAGCAAAUGAAAAUGCUAUAGUAUGUAAUAGCCGGAGGAGCUAUUAAAGACAUAUAUGUUUGAGGCAUAUGUAAAAG
Molecule: long non-coding RNA, 1322 nt
Filed under: Panax ginseng (ginseng)
Lineage: Eukaryota; Viridiplantae; Streptophyta; Magnoliopsida; Apiales; Araliaceae
Description: long non-coding RNA (PGIN_LNC006273)
Source: RNAcentral